AAGAUUCAACUCAGCCACAUCAAGUUCUAGAAAUUUAGCAGUCAGUAAUUCUACAAUUCUGUUACCUCUCCCAAGACUAUAGAACCUAUAUGCUUUAGCAUAUUCUGGAUAUGCAAUGAAAUAAUAGCGACUGGUUCUAGGGUCAGUCUUUUUCUUUAUUGAAUUAUAUAUUCUUACUUCUACAGGACAACCCCAAAUCUAUCCUACCAC
Molecule: long non-coding RNA, 210 nt
Filed under: Elaeis guineensis (African oil palm)
Lineage: Eukaryota; Viridiplantae; Streptophyta; Magnoliopsida; Arecales; Arecaceae
Description: long non-coding RNA (EGUI_LNC028299)
Source: RNAcentral